GGUAAUACAUGAAGCAAGGUACCUGAUUGACGUUGCUGAUACUUUAUAUGACAAGAUCAUGCAGUGUUGGAAGUCAGGACUUGAAUUUCAUAGGGGAGUACACCAUUUAGCAAAAAAGGAGGGUUUGAAGGGAGCCAAGAUAAGUAAAGCACUGGAAAAUUUUGCAUGGAAUAUCACCGUAUUGAAGGGCCAAGGGGACUUACUGAAAAAUGCUAAGAAUGAGGCACUGGAAAACAUGAAGCAAAUCCAAACUGCAUGUAUCUCAUGUGGACUGAGCAAGUCAACAAGUGAAAGGGCACGGUUGAAAUCCAAAUAAAGUCUUCAGGAAAUACAGGAAAACGAAAAUGGAAAAUUGAAUGAAAGCUCUGAUAAUUCCAAGACCAGCCCCAGUAGCUUGAUGAUGGAGUCAAAAUUACUGCUUGCAGUUAGCCACCAAUUUAUUUCCAUGGAUGAUACUGAAGAUACUAACAAAGCCUUUAGAAAGAACAAGACUUAAUAUUUAAAACGACAAAUUUUAUGGCAUAUACCACAAUAAAAUAAUUCAAGGAAAAAUAUAUUAAAGUGAUAUUUCUGACAUUCUUGUAACCACCUUUGAACUUGAAUUUAUAGCUCAUUUAAAAGAAAGGAUGAGAACAGGAACUGACAAAAUCACAAUUGGCAUGCUCUUUUCUUCACACUUUUCAUUGUUAGUUAUGCGUGUACUAGUUUUUUAAAUACAUUUUAAUAUGAACAAAAGUAUUCCACUGUACAUUUUGGUUAUGCAUAGCAGUAUUUUUCUGUUGUGAGGCUAUUGUAUGUAAAUACUGCUUUUAUUUUAAAACGUCUGUUCAUACAUGUAUUGAGGACUUUUUUUGAAAUUAUAUUCUGAAAUGUCCUACUCACUCACUCUGUACACAGUUGAGGAACAUAGUCAAGCCUGGAUCCUGUAAUCAGAAAACAUCAAAUAUAAAAGAAAAGUUUACCAAAGUAGAGCAAAAAGCAUUGUUUAUAGAUUAAUUCCUGAGGAACAUAGAUUACCACUUUGUGACAAACACAAAUUGUAACAAGGUUAAAAUUUUCAGUCGUUUUGCUGAAAUUUAAGAGAAAACCAAUAUUCUACAUUGCUGUGCGUCCUCUCAGUUUUCAGGCACUAAGUUACGCUGCAAAAUUUGCAUAUCCAUCAAUGUCUUACCAAUUUUUCCAGUGACUACCUGAAUGAGACAGGAACCAAAAUGAUCCUUGAUUGGUCCUUGAUUGGUACUGGAUUACUCAAUGUCAUCCAAUGUCUUGGAGUAAUAAAAUUGGCCAGUGUUUCCACUAUCCAGUUACUCUUUCUAGAAAUAGGUGAGGUCUGUCUGUGGGAAUUGGCUGAGGCAGAAAGAAAUUUCCAUAAAUGUCUUUAAGGAUAGAGAGGAAAGAAGGAAAUUCAACAUGGAAAAUAAAUUGCACCAGCUGUUUUUGCAAAUGUCUGAUACAAAAUGGAUAUUUGCAAAAGUCAACCUUGCACUUGCAUGUGAAGUUUCAAAAUAAUCUUUUUCCUUGGAGGAGUGAGUGUUUGGUCAAUCAAAACAGGAUAAAGUUAGGGAAUGACUGAACUGAAAACUAUAGGUUCCAAGUGAGAUGAAUACAUGUCAAGAAGACUUUCCCACAGCUGCCAUGCUAAUUGAGCUCAAGGCUUGGUAAUCAGAGCUUGAACAUUUAUAGUUGCGCUUCUUUGGAACAGUGUGUUCCAAUUUUGGUUAUGUUGCCUGGUAGAAUUGGGGAAAAUGGCUUCCCUGUACUAUCCAACAGCAACAAUAACGUUGACAUUGUUGUUAUUGUCAUUUGUGACGGUCUUUGUGGGGCUAAUCUUCAUAUCUUCCUUAAAUAAGUAGCAAUGCUGGAGUCAAGCUGAACAUACAAGGCAGACAAUUUGUGGACUGGGAGUAAAUGGGACAACCAAGUGAUGUCAUACUGGAAAAAGUGUUCCGGCCCAUCCAGCCUGUCUCACACAAUGCGAUGCCUUGUGCUUCAUGUAUAGAUUCUGUCCAAUACGUGAUCACCCAAAAGAAAUAAAUUAAAAUCAGAUAAGACCAGGCAAACUUGAAGGAAAAGGUCAAGGAAGUUUAUUUCUAACAAAUGUACAUUCAUCCACCCUAGUCCCACCUCCUUAGCUGCUUUGGCAUUUAAACUAGUUCAGGGUAUUUCUCUGCUCCUGAUAAUAUCGUGCUGUGCCUACCUUCUAUAUGGGAUGACUUCUACCCCAGCCAGAAACAGCCCUUUGUUGAAGGAGUUCCAUGAAGCAAUGACAGACUGCUCCAGGUGGCCACUGUUUGCGUUGGGUAAAAGAAUCUAGUUUUUUUCUCUUUAAAGCUGUUUUCUGGAUUUCAUUGUAAGAGGUGAAGAAAACUCAGGCAGUUAGUAGACAGUUAACAAGGAAACUUUUGAAACAUUCUUAUUUGCUCAUUUCCAAGGUAUAUUUCACUUUUUUUGCAAAAUAGUCGUCUUUGGAUUUCUCUGCUUCAGAGGACAGGGUUUGUCCUGUGCAGUAUUUUGGUAUGGUCAAUAAUGAGAUCAAUAGAUUUUUGAAGAUUGAAGAAAUCGAGUGAUUAGGGAGGGAGAGUGUGUAAGUGACAUUGAGGUUGAGCAUUAGGCAAGAUCUUACUGAAAGAUGGAGCAGACUUGAAACAUCGUAACACUUACUCCUCCUAGUUCUUAUGAUCCUAAAUCUAGCCCACAUUCAAAUAAACAUCUUUGAUCGGGGAUGAUAAUCUUCAUUAAGUUUAUUAAGGAACUGUCUUUGAGUAAACUACAUUCAAGAAUUACUGUCCAGUCACUACUACAAAUACUUUGGACUUUUGCACCUAUUUGAUAAUAUAACAUUUCUUUUGUUUCUUCAAUAUGUUACACCUAGUGUUUUUCAGCAAUAUCCAUGUAAAUGUUCAUUAGUCUUGUUAUAGUGUAGGGCUUACAUAUUGCAGUCCAGGUUGAUCCUUUGUAUACUGACUAUACUCCAAAAUUAUGUAUAUGUUCUAUCAAUAUCCAUUUUGUAAAUUUAAUUAUUGUUAUUGACAAAGUUAAAUAUGCAGUUAUAAAAUA
Molecule: long non-coding RNA, 3057 nt
Organism: Rhincodon typus (whale shark)
Lineage: Eukaryota; Metazoa; Chordata; Chondrichthyes; Orectolobiformes; Rhincodontidae
Exons: 3
Source: RefSeq, a predicted model, not a curated record